This 247-nucleotide long non-coding RNA is filed under the name Lathyrus oleraceus (garden pea). RNAcentral's name for it is "Pisum sativum (pea) long non-coding RNA (PSAT_LNC037380)". Lineage: Eukaryota; Viridiplantae; Streptophyta; Magnoliopsida; Fabales; Fabaceae. The record is from RNAcentral.
GUCAUAGAUUGUGUGACGCUCGUCACACAGUCUUUUUGGCAUGGCUUCAGCUAGCGUUCUUCAGAAUAACUUUGGUAAUUUAUUUUUUUAUUAUUUAUUUUGUUUUGCUUCAGAUUAUUUUAUUUAUUCUUCAGAAUAACUUUGGUAAUUUAUUUUUUUAUUAUUUAUUUUGUUUUGCUUCAGAUUAUUUUAUUUUGCUAUUUAAUUUUCCUGCAUGCUAUUCUACUUUGUUUAAUAGUGCAUAAAU